RNAcentral lists this ribosomal RNA (406 nucleotides) under uncultured bacterium. RNAcentral's name for it is "partial 16S ribosomal RNA". It matches the Rfam family "Bacterial small subunit ribosomal RNA", at positions 30 to 526 of the family's 1533-position model. The record is from RNAcentral.
AUUGAACGCUGGCGGCAGGCCUAACACAUGCAAGUCGAACGAGUGGCGGACGGGUGAGUAAUGUCUGGGAAACUGCCUGAUGGAGGGGGAUAACUACUGGAAACGGUAGCUAAUACCGCAUACCAUCGGAUGUGCCCAUAUGGGAUUGGCUAGUAGGUGGGGUAAAGGAUCACCUAGGCGACGAUCCCUAGCUGGUCUGAGAGGAUUACCAGCAACACUGGAACUGAGACACGGUCCAGACGCCUACGGGAGGCAGCAGGGGGGAAUAGUGCACAAUGGGCGAAAGCCUGAUGAAGCGAUGCCGCGUGUAUGAAGAAGGCCUUCGGGUUGUAAAGUACUGUCAGCGGGGAGGCGUUACCCGCAGAAGAAGCACCGGCUAACUACGUGCCAGCAGCCGCGGUAAUUC